UCGACGACUAGCCCCGUAGAGGAUAACCUCUGCUGCGUCGUCCAGAGUCAACACGACCACGGGAGCGCACGCCACAUGGUGUCUGUGUGUGCAUGUGAGUGCAACCCAUGGAGGAAAAAGCGCAGACCACGUGCUCGAGCUCCUCUCCCAACACCCGCCUCCGCACCUGUGCAGCCUUGCUGUCGCCGCGCACUCUCUCUACCGCUCGGCCGUCCACAGCAUCCUCCCCUCAUUUUUUUUUCUCACUGCUUUGCUCCCUCUCUCGCCCCAACACUUCCAUCACCCUCACUGAGGGCGCGAGAGCGGCACUCGCGUGUAGUUGACGGAAGGAUGAAGACGAAGGAGAGCUGUCGCGAGUGGCGGCGAUGCAUGUGCUCAUGGAGUGGCGGCUAGACAACAGCUGCGAUGCGUGCCGCUGAACAGCUUUAAGAGAAACAAACCCGCAUCCAUCCUCCUGCCUACAUGCAUGUAUACUCUCGUGAAGGCGCGCAUGGGAUAGCGAAUAUUGGCGGCUACCUCUCGCUCUCUCGCCCCUUCCUACGCCAGCGGAGGAGUGUGCACCGGCCCCUGCGGGUGGAGGCACACGCAUCUUUUUUUGUUCUGUGUACGCAUUCUUCGAGACACAGCGGUGCGCCGAGGUCAGGGGAGAGGGGCGAUCGAUUCUCUUUCUCGUCCAGCGCAAUCGCGGUGCUUGCUCUGCCUGUUAGUGCCACUUCUGACUUGCGUUCGCUUUGGGAAUGCGCCCCAGUGACGUCAUGGUCCUCUUCUCUCUCGUUGUUUCCACUCGCCAUGCCUUUCGAGUAAGUCAUGCCCCCCCCCCUCUUCUGACGCCUCCACCCGGUGAGUCAGGAAGCUGGAAGGACGAGCGGCUCCGCACUCCCGUCCGUGCACACAGGCACAGGCAUAUACACGUACCGAUGCGCUUGUAUGGAGAGACGCGCUCUGCUCCCGCUGGCAUGGCCCUCUCUGUGUAAGCGGCACGACCGCACACAUGGCAGAGGUCGGGCCGACUGGGACGCGUGUGCCGACUCGGCCUAUGGCCUCGGGCGUACCUCGCUCUCCCGCCUCUUCUAUCUGCACGCCUGUCGCGCUGGCGAAGUAUAGGCGAUAUUAGGAUGCACACGUGUACACUCUCUGCGCUCCCUCCGUCCCUCUUCUCGCUCUUCUCUUGUCCCCCUCUCUCUCUGUGUGUGCGUCGUCGCCUCUGGCAUCUCGCCGGCGAGCAG
Molecule: unclassified non-coding RNA, 1226 nt
Filed under: Leishmania donovani
Lineage: Eukaryota; Euglenozoa; Kinetoplastea; Trypanosomatida; Trypanosomatidae
Description: gene:unknown
Source: RNAcentral